UGCAGUCGUACGCUUCUUUUUCCACCGGAGCUUGCUCCACCGGAAAAAGAAGAGUGSCGAACGGGUGAGUAACACGUGGGUAACCUGCCCAUCAGAAGGGGAUAACACUUGGAAACAGGUGCUAAUACCGUAUAACAAUCGAAACCGCAUGGUUUUGAUUUGAAAGGCGCUUUCGGGUGUCGCUGAUGGAUGGACCCGCGGUGCAUUAGCUAGUUGGUGAGGUAACGGCUCACCAAGGCCACGAUGCAUAGCCGACCUGAGAGGGUGAUCGGCCACAUUGGGACUGAGACACGGCCCAAACUCCUACGGGAGGCAGCAGUAGGGAAUCUUCGGCAAUGGACGAAAGUCUGACCGAGCAACGCCGCGUGAGUGAAGAAGGUUUUCGGAUCGUAAAACUCUGUUGUUAGAGAAGAACAAGGAUGAGAGUAACUGUUCAUCCCUUGACGGUAUCUAACCAGAAAGCCACGGCUAACUACGUGCCAGCAGCCGCGGUAAUACGUAGGUGGCAAGCGUUGUCCGGAUUUAUUGGGCGUAAAGCGAGCGCAGGCGGUUUCUUAAGUCUGAUGUGAAAGCCCCCGGCUCAACCGGGGAGGGUCAUUGGAAACUGGGAGACUUGAGUGCAGAAGA
Molecule: ribosomal RNA, 627 nt
Filed under: Enterococcus faecium
Lineage: Bacteria; Bacillati; Bacillota; Bacilli; Lactobacillales; Enterococcaceae
Description: bacterial SSU rRNA
Rfam family: Bacterial small subunit ribosomal RNA
Source: RNAcentral